GUAGGAGCCGGCUUGCUGGCGAUGGCGAUCUGGCAUUCAGCAUUGAUGUCGACUGAUUGACCGCAAUCGCCAGCAAGCCGGCUCCUAC
Molecule: non-coding RNA, 88 nt
Filed under: Pseudomonas sp. SJZ080
Lineage: Bacteria; Pseudomonadati; Pseudomonadota; Gammaproteobacteria; Pseudomonadales; Pseudomonadaceae
Source: RNAcentral